This 432-nucleotide ribosomal RNA is filed under the name uncultured Streptococcus sp. Its description in RNAcentral is "bacterial SSU rRNA". It matches the Rfam family "Bacterial small subunit ribosomal RNA", at positions 954 to 1382 of the family's 1533-position model. Lineage: Bacteria; Bacillati; Bacillota; Bacilli; Lactobacillales; Streptococcaceae. The record is from RNAcentral.
AAGACAACGACGAACGAACUUACCAGGUCUUGACAUCCCGAUUGCUUAUUUCUAGAGAUAGAAGUUACUUCGGUACAUCGGGUUGACAGGUGGUGCAUGGUUGUCGUCAGCUCGUGUCGUGAGAUGUUGGGUUAAGUCCCGCAACGAGCGCAACCCCUAUUGUUAGUUGCCAUCAUUCAGUUGGGCACUCUAGCGAGACUGCCGGUAAUAACCGGAGGAAGGUGGGGAUGACGUCAAAUCAUCAUGCCCCUUAUGACCUGGGCUACACACGUGCUACAAUGGUUGGUACAACGAGUUGCGAGUCGGUGACGGCGAGCUAAUCUCUUAAAGCCAAUCUCAGUUCGGAUUGUAGGCUGCAACUCGCCUACAUGAAGUCGGAAUCGCUAGUAAUCGCGGAUCAGCACGCCCGCGGUCGAAUACGUUCCGGGCCUU